CCUAACCGAAUCCCACAGCAUUUUUUUUUUUUUGAGGAACUCAUAGUUACUGACUGAUCAUGAAAAGCACUGGAAUCAUGCAUUCUAAACAAUUGUUUAUUUUAGGCUUAAUUACAUUUACCUCCCCUGAGAUUUGGCCAAACUACUAAAUAAACCUCGAAAUUUAACCAAAUAACAGUCAAAGCCUUUGAAUGAGCAAAUGUUUAUUAAAAUACUCCCUGCCAUCUUUCACCAUUAUAGAUGGUGUUAACAUCAGCAAAAAACUAGUAUCAGGGUUCAAAAAUGCCCUUGUACAAAAUAAAAACAAUAAUAAUAAUAAAACCAAAACAUAGUUUAAUUCCUUUUAUACUUGAUAAUUCUUCAAAAAGACUAACAAAAAAAGAAAUAUUUCUUUUAUGAGGCAAGAGAAAGGCAAAAGCUUAAAGAUAGUAUUUUCCACAAAGAAAAAGUAAAUACUUAAUAUUGUCUCCUAAGAAAUAA
Molecule: long non-coding RNA, 480 nt
Filed under: Coffea arabica (coffee)
Lineage: Eukaryota; Viridiplantae; Streptophyta; Magnoliopsida; Gentianales; Rubiaceae
Description: long non-coding RNA (CARA_LNC001132)
Source: RNAcentral